GCUUCGCUAUAGUAGGUUUUACUUACUGGAUGCAGCAAUUAGGAUGGAACUACAGCAUAUUUACGGAAAACAGGUGGAGUUGCUGAUAAAGCACUGAAAGAACAGAAGACGAGAGACCUACUGUACAAAGAGACAGAGCAGGUGGCCGUUACAAUGAUAAAGAGUCGAGCAGCUGCUGACUGAAGAAGCCUCUGUGUUUUGGUCAGGUCGGGUUAUGUUGUGUCUCCUCUGCAGGGAACCGAGGGAAACCAUCAGCAGAUCUGAGGCUGCAAACAGGCAGUGGGAUCCGUCUGACCUUCACUUUAACUGAGAGCU
Molecule: non-coding RNA, 315 nt
Organism: Danio rerio (zebrafish)
Lineage: Eukaryota; Metazoa; Chordata; Actinopteri; Cypriniformes; Danionidae
Source: RefSeq, a predicted model, not a curated record